RNAcentral lists this long non-coding RNA (1330 nucleotides) under Mustela putorius furo (domestic ferret). RNAcentral describes it as "lncRNA (ENSMPUG00000030378.1)". Lineage: Eukaryota; Metazoa; Chordata; Mammalia; Carnivora; Mustelidae. The record is from RNAcentral.
CGGAGGAGAACGGAUUUUGGAUGGUUUUUUAAUACUUUUUUUACCAUGUGAUGAAAUGGUUGCCUAAAGCUGCUGGCUGCAUUUAAUUAUUUUUAUUUCAAUUUUAUUUUUUUAAAUGUAGUUACUUCAUAGACACAGAUAUUUUCCAACAUCAACUCCUGAGUGGUAUAAUAUAGAAUGCUUCAUUAGCAAUGGAAAUGGGCUUAAGUUUGCAGCAGGAAUUUUCUGACUGUUUUUAGAUGUGGAAGAAGCUAGCAGCAAGAUCAUAGAACCUCUCCCUCCCCGCCAGAGAACGUCAGAACAAGUAAAAAAUUUCUAUUUAAUCCACAAAUUUCACAUAAAAGCUAUCCUCGUUUACUGGUGCUGCUUUUACUUCACUAAGGUCUCCCUAACACUUGUUCUUCCUUCUGCUUUUCUUUACUUCAUGCUGCCAUGUAAGAAAACAAAAAUGCCUCAGCUGGAAGGAGGAUGUGGGUGCUGCUUGAGUAUGUGUACUGAAUUCAACCCAAUGUCUGGAAAACAUGGCGAGAUCACCACCAGCAAUGCAACUGCGAAACCUGACAGAAUUCCUUUCCUGGCCACGCCCACUGCUCAUUACCACACACGUGUUUGAGCAUCAAGUAUCUGCUCAUUCAUACUUAUGCCAAAAGUCGCAGCUCAUCCCAGGUGGCUCAGCUAAAAGUGCAUGUGUUCAGUCAGCAAAUAUUGGUUGAAUGCCUGGUGUGUGCCAUUCACUGUGCCAUGCACAGAGGACAUAUUGUGAAGAUGACUGUCAUAGGUCCAUGACAUUGAAUCCUCUGCAGAGGUGAGAAGAGUAUUUGGAGAGCUGAAUCAGGAACUUUUUUUUGGUUGCUGAUGUUACAAUUAAAAAAAAAAAAGCUGUAUAUUUCCCAUAGUUUACACCCUGCAGGUGUAAAAGCCUUUCCUAUGAGAGAGGAUGGUUGCAUCCCCCUGAUGCAAUUCUCUCUGGCUGACAGUAUGUUUACUAAGAAUGCUAUCUUUAGGGCAUUCUAAAGAAAGGCAAACUACAGUACCAGAGAACACAGCAGCUGGGACGUGUGCAUGAGCCUCCAACUCCAGUCUGAAGGGUGAAGCUGAAGCCUCGGCCACAGCUGGAAGAAUGGGGAGCAGAACACUGGCAACGGGCAAAAUGGUUAUUCAUUUCCUCUCUUGUGAUCUUUCAUAUUUCAUUUUUGUGAAUCUCAAUACAUAGUUGAGACUUUUCCGAUUCACAAUCAACCCUGAUUAUCUUUCUCCUCUCUCCACUUUUCCCUUUUUAGUUUCUUGGAAACUGUUAGAGGAAGAAGAUUAAAAACUAUCUGGCAUGGAA